AGGCUUUAGCUUAAUAAAAGUGUCUGAGUUGCAUUCAGGUGAUGUGGGAUAAAAUCCUGCAAGUCUUAU
This 69-nucleotide transfer RNA is filed under the name Coilia nasus (Japanese grenadier anchovy). RNAcentral's name for it is "tRNA-Ala". It matches the Rfam family "tRNA". Rfam says of the family: Transfer RNA (tRNA) molecules are approximately 80 nucleotides in length. Their secondary structure includes four short double-helical elements and three loops (D, anti-codon, and T loops). Further hydrogen bonds mediate the characteristic L-shaped molecular structure. tRNAs have two regions of fundamental functional importance: the anti-codon, which is responsible for specific mRNA codon recognition, and the 3' end, to which the tRNAs corresponding amino acid is attached (by aminoacyl-tRNA synthetases). tRNAs cope with the degeneracy of the genetic code in two manners: having more than one tRNA (with a specific anti-codon) for a particular amino acid; and 'wobble' base-pairing, i.e. permitting non-standard base-pairing at the 3rd anti-codon position. The record is from RNAcentral. Lineage: Eukaryota; Metazoa; Chordata; Actinopteri; Clupeiformes; Engraulidae.